RNAcentral lists this transfer RNA (72 nucleotides) under Cordylochernes scorpioides. RNAcentral describes it as "tRNA-Gly". It matches the Rfam family "tRNA". Rfam says of the family: Transfer RNA (tRNA) molecules are approximately 80 nucleotides in length. Their secondary structure includes four short double-helical elements and three loops (D, anti-codon, and T loops). Further hydrogen bonds mediate the characteristic L-shaped molecular structure. tRNAs have two regions of fundamental functional importance: the anti-codon, which is responsible for specific mRNA codon recognition, and the 3' end, to which the tRNAs corresponding amino acid is attached (by aminoacyl-tRNA synthetases). tRNAs cope with the degeneracy of the genetic code in two manners: having more than one tRNA (with a specific anti-codon) for a particular amino acid; and 'wobble' base-pairing, i.e. permitting non-standard base-pairing at the 3rd anti-codon position. The record is from RNAcentral. Lineage: Eukaryota; Metazoa; Arthropoda; Arachnida; Pseudoscorpiones; Chernetidae.
GCAUCGGUAGUUCAAUGGCGAAAAUUCUCGCCUGCCACGCGGGCGGCCCUGGUUCGAUUCCCAGCCGAUGCC